CUAUCCCGAGUGCCAUCCGCUGAGGAAGGCUUUUACCCAGUCUAGAACGCUGGGGGAAUAAGGAGAGGGCAAGUCUGGUGUCAGCCGCCGCGGUAAUACCAGCUCUCCGAGUGGUGUGGAUGUUUAUUGGGCCUAAAGCAUCCGUAGCUGGCUAAGUUAGUCCCUUGUUAAAUCCACCGAAUUAAUCGUUGGAUUGCGGGGGAUACUGCUUGGCUAGGGGACGAGAGAGGCAGACGGUAUUUUCGGGGUAGGGGUGAAAUCCUAUAAUCCCGGGAAGACCACCAGUGGCGAAGGCUGUCUGCUAGAACGCGCCCGACGGUGAGGGAUGAAAGCUGGGGGAGCGAACCGGAUUAGAUACCCGGGUAGUCCCAGCUGUAAACGAUGCAGGCUAGGUGUUUGGACGGCCACGUGCCGUUCUAGUGCCGCAGGGAAGCUGUUAAGCCUGCCGCCUGGGGAGUACGAUCGCAAGAUUGAAACUUAA
This 481-nucleotide ribosomal RNA is filed under the name uncultured archaeon. RNAcentral's name for it is "bacterial SSU rRNA". It matches the Rfam family "Archaeal small subunit ribosomal RNA", at positions 376 to 859 of the family's 1478-position model. The record is from RNAcentral.